UACGUAGGUGGCAAGCGUUGUCCGGAUUUACUGGGCGUAAAGAGCGCGCAGGCGGUCGUUCAAGUCGCGUGUGAAAGCCCCCGGCUCAACUGGGGAGGGUCACGCGAUACUGAUCGACUCGAAGGCAGGAGAGGGUAGUGGAAUUCCCGGUGUAGUGGUGAAAUGCGUAGAUAUCUGGAGGAACACCGGUGGCGAAGGCGGCAUCCUGGACCGAUACUGACGCUGAGGAGCGAAAGCCAGGGGAGCAAACGGG
This 253-nucleotide ribosomal RNA is filed under the name uncultured bacterium. Its description in RNAcentral is "partial 16S ribosomal RNA". It matches the Rfam family "Bacterial small subunit ribosomal RNA", at positions 524 to 776 of the family's 1533-position model. The record is from RNAcentral.